GACGAACGCUGGCGGCGUGCUUAACACAUGCAAGUCGAGCGGUAAGGCCCUUUCGGGGGUACACGAGCGGCGAACGGGUGAGUAACACGUGGGUGACCUGCCCUCAGCUCUGGGAUAAGCCUGGGAAACCGGGUCUAAUACCGGAUAUGACUCCAUGACGCAUGUUGUGGGGUGGAAAGCCUUGUGCGGCUGAGGAUGGGCCCGCGGCCUAUCAGCUUGUUGGUGGGGUGANGGCCUACCAAGGCGACGACGGGUAGCCGGCCUGAGAGGGCGACCGGCCACACUGGGACUGAGACACGGCCCAGACUCCUACGGGAGGCAGCAGUGGGGAAUCUUGCGCAAUGGGCGAAAGCCUGACGCAGCGACGCCGCGUGAGGGAUGACGGCCUGGUUGUAACGU
This 399-nucleotide ribosomal RNA is filed under the name uncultured bacterium. RNAcentral's name for it is "bacterial SSU rRNA". It matches the Rfam family "Bacterial small subunit ribosomal RNA", at positions 28 to 431 of the family's 1533-position model. The record is from RNAcentral.